GCGUCGCUCACGCUGGGAGCUGUAGACCGGAGCUGUUCCUAUUCAGCCAUCUUGGCUCCUCCCCUGACUGAUGUCCUCCUUAUAGGAAUGGGAAAUUCAGAUGCAGACAGGUGCUGAAGACCAUGUGAAGGCACAGGGAGGAGGUGGCCAUCUGCAAGCCAAGGAGAGAAGCCUCAGAAGAAACCAACCCUGCCAACACCGUGACCUCAGACUCCAGCCCCCAGAACUAGCCAUAGUUUGUCUUCCACAACUGGAGGUUUGAAAAGAAGGAUGAGGACACUGAAUCUCAGAGACGUCAAGUUCUUUCAUCGAGAUUCCAUAGAAUGUUCCCUGUUUCUUCAUCUAUGACAUGGGGAUAAUGUGAGUAUACCUACAUCAGAGGGCUGCGAUGAAGACUAAAUAAGCCCACAGAUGGAUAUUCUUUGUUCUUAUCAACCUCCUCAUCAAAUACUUCAACCACUGACUGCCAGGCUGGCCUGUGCUGAGCAGAGGAGAUUAAAAGGAUUAUCCAGGCUUCUGGUUGAUAUUAGUUCUUCAGGGAGGCGAUGGAAUAUAGAUAAAUGACACGGAGCUUGCUGGAAUUCCAUCUCUGUCACUUGCAAACUGUGUGAUUCUGG
RNAcentral lists this long non-coding RNA (617 nucleotides) under Homo sapiens (human). Its description in RNAcentral is "HSALNT0267263". Lineage: Eukaryota; Metazoa; Chordata; Mammalia; Primates; Hominidae. The record is from RNAcentral.